Molecule: long non-coding RNA, 851 nt
Filed under: Homo sapiens (human)
Lineage: Eukaryota; Metazoa; Chordata; Mammalia; Primates; Hominidae
Description: non-protein coding lnc-STAM-2:1
Source: RNAcentral
ACGCGAAUCUAUGAGUCCAAGUUCUGGAAAGAGGAGUGCUUUGGACUUACGGCUGAACUUGCAGUCGAUAAAGCCAUGGAGUUAAGGUUUGUGGGUGGCCUCUAUGGUGGCAACAUAAAACCAACACCCUUUCUGUGUUAAACCUUGAAGAUGCUUCAAAUUCAACCCGAGAAGGAUAUCAUUGUAGAGUUUAUCAAAAAUGAAGAUUUCAAGUAUGUCCGCAUGUUGGGGGCAUUUUACGUGAGGCUAACAGGCAUUGCAAUUGAUUGCUACAAGUACUUGGAGUCUUCCUACAAUGACUAUUGAAAAAUCAAGAGCCAGAACCGAAAUGAGGAGUUUGAAUUGAUGCAUGUUGAUGAGUUUGUUGAUGAACUAUUGCACAGUAAGAGAGUAUGAUAUCAUUCUGCCCCGGCUACAGAAACGCUAUGUAUUAGAGGAAGCUGAGCAACUGGAGCCUUGAGUUAGUGCUCUGGAAGAGGACAUGGAUGAUGUGGAGUCCAGUGAAGAGGAAGAAGAGGAGGAUGAGAAGUUGGAGAGUGCCAUCAACUGAUCACCGCCGGAGAAGCUACGGAGACUUGGACAAGUCCCGUUGCUCUCCCACACUGCGCUACAGAAGGAGUAGGAGUCGGUCUCCCAGAAGGUGGAAUCGAUCUCCCAAAAGGAGAAGUCCCUCCCUGCAUCGAGAAAGGCAUGGGAGCAAGAGUCCAAGACUUCACCGCAGCAGGUCCCGAGAUUGGCAGCACAGAUCCCAUUCCAAGUCCCCAGGUCAUCACUGUAGUCACAGACACAAGAACCACUCAAAGUCUCCCGAAAGGUCUUAGAAGAGCCACGAGAAGAGCCGGUGAGGGAAU